This is a long non-coding RNA of Eriocheir sinensis (Chinese mitten crab), 360 nucleotides long. RefSeq lists it as uncharacterized. The transcript is spliced from 3 exons. Lineage: Eukaryota; Metazoa; Arthropoda; Malacostraca; Decapoda; Varunidae. The record is from RefSeq and is a predicted model, not a curated record.
CAGAGUCGGUACUGUGUGAAGGGGGUCUGAAAAGUCGGUGGGUUGUCGUGGAUCAGAGUCGGUACUGUGUGAAGGGGGUCUGAAAAGUCGGUGGGUUGUCGUGGAUCAGAGUCGGUACUGUGUGAAGGGGGUCUGAAAAGUCGGUGGGUUGUCGUGGAUCAGAGUCGGUACUGUGUGAAGGGGGUCUGAAAAGUCGGUGGGUUGUCGUGGAUCAGAGUCGGUACUGUGUGAAGGGGGUCUGAAAAGUCGGUGGGUUGUCGUGGAUUAGAGUCGGUACUGUGUGAAGGGGGUCUGAAAAGUCGCUGGGUUGUCGUGGAUCAGAGUCGGUACUGUGUGAAGGGGGUCUGAAAAGUCGUGGAG